AGGCGCGUAGCUCAGUUGGUAGAGCACUACCUUGACACGGUAGGGGUCUGCGGUUCGAGUCCGCACGUGCCUA
This 73-nucleotide transfer RNA is filed under the name Pyrinomonadaceae bacterium. RNAcentral describes it as "tRNA-Val". It matches the Rfam family "tRNA". Rfam says of the family: Transfer RNA (tRNA) molecules are approximately 80 nucleotides in length. Their secondary structure includes four short double-helical elements and three loops (D, anti-codon, and T loops). Lineage: Bacteria; Pseudomonadati; Acidobacteriota; Blastocatellia; Blastocatellales; Pyrinomonadaceae. The record is from RNAcentral.